Molecule: long non-coding RNA, 201 nt
Filed under: Elaeis guineensis (African oil palm)
Lineage: Eukaryota; Viridiplantae; Streptophyta; Magnoliopsida; Arecales; Arecaceae
Description: long non-coding RNA (EGUI_LNC067988)
Source: RNAcentral
UUCUUUCCCUUUUCUCUUACAUUUUUUUCAAACUUUUUCUUAUCUUUAUCCUCUCAUUCUCAUGCCUAAAGCCCAACCAAAAUGGGAUGUAGAAAUCAGGUGUACCACCCCCUAUUUAUAGGAAAAUAUGGGCGACACCAUGGGACGCCAACUCUUGGCGUCCCUUAAUUAUUACAUGCCUCCAAUUAAUUUUUAGUGUGG